Trichosurus vulpecula (common brushtail) is the source of this 655-nucleotide long non-coding RNA. RefSeq lists it as uncharacterized. The transcript is spliced from 3 exons. The record is from RefSeq and is a predicted model, not a curated record. Lineage: Eukaryota; Metazoa; Chordata; Mammalia; Diprotodontia; Phalangeridae.
UCGGGACCGCAGCCUGGCCCCGCCCUCUCUCUGCCCAUUGGCCCCGCGCCAACACGUGAUAGCUCUCCGGGACGCUCCCUAUUGGACCCUGCCUUGAGCCCGGCUCUCCCCAGUUCAAUUCAGUGACAUUACACAGAGCCACCUGGGACCAGUGGCAAAAUAUGGGUCAGGACAACUGGAGGUGGCCCAGGAUGCAGGCCUGAGGCAGAGCUCAUCCAGUGAUUAAGGCUAGGAACCAGCCUAGCCAAGUAUGGAAAGGAUCCUUACUAGAAGACUGGCCACUAGGCGGUGAAUUCUUUGGACACUGUAUCACAGUAAGAAAAGAAAAUGCAAAACGGCCCUUAGUCCUAUUUUAGCCCCUGUCUACUACUCCAGCAGGAAUGAUAGCAGGAUGGCAUAAAAGAAAUAUAUCAUGUUAAAUUUGAAAUUACAGUUUUUAGAUUGUCAAUUUAAUUUAAAUUAAUGUUAAUGUUAGUUUAGAUUAAUAAUUUAAUUUUGGUACUCUAAACAAGUCGAUAUCACUGGAGGAACUGAAUCCUAUAAAUAUUGAUAUUUUCACCAUGAAUGAAAUGAGAAAAUGUAAGAGUUAUAACUACAGAUCAGGAUGUCUCACAGGUUCUUGUUGGAGAGGGCAAUAAAGGAACUGGCAAGUUGG